CAGGCCUAACACAUGCAAGUCGAACGAGAUCUUCGGAUCUAGUGGCGCACGGGUGCGUAACGCGUGGGAAUCUGCCCUUGGGUUCGGAAUAACAGUGGGAAACUACUGCUAAUACCGGAUGAUGACGUAAGUCCAAAGAUUUAUCGCCCGAGGAUGAGCCCGCGUCAGAUUAGCUAGUUGGUGGGGUAAAGGCCUACCAAGGCGACGAUCUGUAGCUGGUCUGAGAGGAUGAUCAGCCACACUGGGACUGAGACACGGCCCAGACUCCUACGGGAGGCAGCAGUGGGGAAUAUUGGACAAUGGGCGAAAGCCUGAUCCAGCAAUGCCGCGUGAGUGAUGAAGGCCUUAGGGUUGUAAAGCUCUUUUACCCGGGAUGAUAAUGACAGUACCGGGAGAAUAAGCUCCGGCUAACUCCGUGCCAGCAGCCGCGGUAAU
RNAcentral lists this ribosomal RNA (435 nucleotides) under uncultured bacterium. RNAcentral's name for it is "bacterial SSU rRNA". It matches the Rfam family "Bacterial small subunit ribosomal RNA", at positions 43 to 524 of the family's 1533-position model. The record is from RNAcentral.